GAUCGCUGUGAUGCGGGCGGUUCGCUGCUCGUGACUCUGCGAGAAGUCCAUUGAACCUUAUCAUUUAGAGGAAGGAGAAGUCGUAACAAGGUUUCCGUAGGUGAACCUGCGGAAGGAUCAUUGUCGAGACCAAAAUACAUCAAGCGAUUUGGAGAACCCGUAAAAAUAAGUGGUGGCUAUUGUUGCCACGAUAAAAGCCAUCCCAGUUACUUCCUCAACCCCUUGGGGGAGGGGAUGUGAUGAAGGAUGGAUGAACACUCAAACCGGCGCAAUGUCGCGCCAAGGGAAUAUCGAAACACGAGGCCUUAAAUGGUUCUGGUGGUAUGUGGUGCUGAUGCAUGCCAUAUGGAUUGACACGACUCUCGACAAUGGAUAUCUCGGCUCUCGCAUCGAUGAAGAGCGCAGCGAAAUGCGAUACGUGGUGCGAAUUGCAGAAUCCCGCGAACCAUCGAGUCUUUGAACGCAAGUUGCGCCUGAGGCCAACCGGCCAAGGGCACGUCUGCCUGGGCGUCAAGCGUUACGUCGCUCCGUGUCAACUCCAGCCCUAUCAAUGGUGGGAUGGCGAAGUCUCGGAUGUGCAAAGUGGCUCAUCGUGCCCCUCUCGGUGCGGCGGGCUGAAGAGCGGGUUAUCUUCUCGUUGGCCACGAACAAUAAGGGGUGGAUAAAAGCGAGACAUAUUUUAUUGUGUCGUGUAAGCUUGAGAGAAGAUUAUAUUAACAUGUGAUCCCUUAACAUGCAUCAAUCUACGGAUGGCGUUUGGAAUGCGACCCCAGGAUGGGCGAGGCCACCCGCUGAGUUUAAGCAUAUCAAUAAGCGGAGGAAAAUAAACUUACGAGGAUUCCCCUA
RNAcentral lists this ribosomal RNA (846 nucleotides) under Dendrobium schuetzei. Its description in RNAcentral is "eukaryotic LSU rRNA". The stretch from base 358 to 513 matches the Rfam family "5.8S ribosomal RNA". The record is from RNAcentral. Lineage: Eukaryota; Viridiplantae; Streptophyta; Magnoliopsida; Asparagales; Orchidaceae.